Rhincodon typus (whale shark) is the source of this 3394-nucleotide long non-coding RNA. RefSeq lists it as uncharacterized. The record is from RefSeq and is a predicted model, not a curated record. NCBI's taxonomy places the organism in Eukaryota, Metazoa, Chordata, Chondrichthyes, Orectolobiformes, Rhincodontidae. The transcript has 9 exons.
UCCUGUAUGCUCAUUUACCCAAUACACUCGAUAGCAACAUAAGGUGGAAUCUUUUGGGUUUUUGGCAAACCGCAAGUUGCUUUGGGUUUUGUGGAGUUAUUCUCACCAUGCGACCAUGAGAAGACAUCUUAUAACAGAUCGGAACAACGCCUACAGAGUGGGGGUUGCCAGACAUCCAUGUCCUCACCCACCCUACCAGGAAAGGAUGACAGGGACCAGGAAAAGACAGGGACUGCUCCUGCAGAGGUGCAGGUACACCACUGUCCCAACACCCAAAUCAAAAUCAAAAUGCCUCAAAUUAAAUCAACUAACAGUUUCUGUGUCACUCUCCAGCACAGGCAUCCUUGGCUGCUGUGGAGAGGACAUGGGCGAUGUAGGACUGGAUGAGUGACUCUUUGAUGGGGAAAUGAUCACUGCAGUCCGUGGACGAAGAUUUGGAUUCUUGUGGGUCUUCUGGUCAUCAGGAACAUGGCGGAGACCUAGAAAGAGGCAAUUCAGGAAAUUCCAAAUGAUAAAACCCUGUUCAUUACCCUCAGGGAACAGCCUCUCUGACACCCAUUUACAUUGUCUGCCAGGACAAAGAGCUAUCUUUAGUCCCAUAGACUGAAUGACAAGAACAAUUCAGAAUGGUUCAAAUCAGGACAACAUUUUGCAAGCCAACUGAGUAAGAAAUUGCAAGGACAAAACCUUCCUCCAAAUACCAGCAUUUUUUGUACACAAGCAUAGACAGAGAAGCCUGAAACAUCUGCCCAUACAAAUCCUUUCUGCACCAUUUUGUGUGAAGAUGGAGGGUGAAGGGUUGUAUUUUGCCUGAAAUGAAUGUAUGUGAAAACAACACGAAAAGCAAUUUUCACAACCUCAUAACAUUCGAAAACACUUUGCAAUCGAUGAACUUCUUUUUCAUCACAUUCAUCUGAAUGAGUGGACUGCCUUAUGAUUUUGAAUGAAUAAAUUUUAUUGUCAUGAGGAAUAGAUAAAAUACAGUGAAAAGCUUUUUACACUGGUGCCGCAAUCUGGCGCCAUUUUAAAUAGUUUUAAGAAUAAGAAAAAAAUACAGAAAGACAUAACUUGAAGAGAGUCCAUCAGCCCUGAGCCAACUCAUCAUCAACGAAGCCUGUGCACCAUCCCUUCUCCACUGCCUCGCCGCCGUCUACACCAGAUCAAACCGAAGUUGAAGUCACUACUCUUCAGGUGCAUCUUUCACCGCUGGGUCAAUUGUCCUCUGCCAUUGCCUUGCCACCAGUGCCGGACCCAACCAACAAUGAAGUCGCCGAUCCUCAUGCACCAUCUUUCACCGUUGGGCCUACCUUGCCGACGUUGCCUCUAUCGAUGUAGCAGAAGCCAUGUUCUGACGCCAGGUCCAGUGCUCGUCCCGGAAAAGUAAGUAAGGGCUCACUUGAGUCCACUCUGGGCCCUCGCCACCACCACGAGGUUCAUACUAGGCCCAUUCAAGUCCUCACUGGGCCCACCUGAGUCAGCACUGAGGUUCCUCGCUGCCACCGAUGCAGUCUGAACUCAGGACAAGAGAAUCCACAGGCAACAGAUUUAAACAAAACAUAUCAUGGCUUGGAGAACAAGAAAGUGACACAAGGCAGACAAAGCAUGUGCUUAUCUCUGUUUCCAGGACUGGCUUCUCCUGGAAUAGGUUGCCAGCUUUUUACCAGAGGUGACGGCUUGAGGGCAACACUCCACAUCACAUAUGGCUGAACUAAAAAUUGUUCCAUUCUUACCGCUUACCCUGGCACGUUGGAGGGAUUUACAAGUUGAAAAUUAAUCUGUUUUGGCUGUGUUAUGAAUGCAUCUUCUAUGGACCGUCUGAGGCGCAAUGUGAUCCUGGCCAUUUGUGGCUCAGAGACAGAAAUGCUAUCCUCUGCGUCACAAGAACUCUACCACUUCUAAUAAACAAGACACUGUAGCUCCAUGUUUUAAAACUCAUGUGGUAUUAUUGGUUAUAAGAUCAUCGAUUGCUCAAUCUUUGAUUAUUACACUUAUUUUAUGAGACAGCAUGGUGUUCCAUUCUCUGAAAACUGCAUACCCAGGAUACUCCAUAUCCCUCAAAUUCCAUUGCUGCCAUUCACAUCAGGCUCAUAUCAAUGACAACUGUUUUCUUUGAUAGCAGUUUCCUAAUGCCAAUUAUCUACAUUGUCCAUCCCAAAUGGAUCCUUACAUCAUCCCAGAACAGCUUAGCUCAAUUUAGACUUUCUUCUGUUUCUACACUGUGUUCAUAAUGCCAUAGGUGGACAGUAGAGCAUUAAGAGGUGGACACAUUUCUUUUCACCAAUAAAAUAUGAGUUCCAUUUCAAUCUAGAGUGACAGCGCAAUGAUGUUUUCUGUUGCACCACCAUAAGGCUCUUUCACAAAGUGACUUUCAGAAACAUUAGGCAAAUCUUUUGAAUAACUGGGAGAAAACACAUCCCCAGCCUUGAUAACUCCCUUCAACCAUUUAAUGCUCAUUGUAACAUUAAGCAACUCAUACAAAUAUCCAUAUUCUGGGGUGCAAGACCCACCCCAGGGAGGUACUGGUUAAUUUAGUUAGGGAUGGUGGUCACAGCUGGGAUCACACCAAGCCCCACAGAUUAAAAUGCUGGGAGCUCAGGAUGCAGGUAGUUCUGUGGGGGCCUCUCCACAAGAAGACAUGGUGCAAGGGCUGAGAGCUGAGGGUUGUAGUGGGCUCUGAGUGGGUGGUGACGGUAGGUUUGCGACGGGCAGGGAGGGAGGGAGCACUUGGGGUGGUGGGUGAGGGGCAAGACAGACACACGCAGCAGCAGGAAAAAUUAGAAGGAACAUGGGGUGAAGGGUGCCCCAAUUGGGAAUGAGGGGCUAAGAGGGAGGCAGCCUCUACAUGGAAGCCACCUCCCUUUAUCAUGGCGAAUCAUGGUAAUAAACAAUCCAUUCCAAAUAUCAGACUAACAAUAUUCAAACAGCCAAACCGGCAAGUAAGAAUUCUGAAUGAAAAUAAGAUGAAGCUGAAUGACCCUUGAUGGUUAGUUUGUAAAAUUGGAACAUGUGGCUAUAGUAAUGAAAAUAUGGAACUUUCUCUCCCAAAACCUAAGUGAAAUUUCAAAACUUGUUGAUAGAUUUUCAUUACGCAGGUUCAUUAAGGCAUAUGGAAAUGAAGUUGGCAAAUGGAAUAGAAACAUUAUUUAAGGUUAUGGGGAAAGGCAGAAGAAUGGUACUGAAUCAAAAUGAUCAAUCGAGAAGUCAAUGCAGGCAUGAUAAGCCAAAUGGUCUCCUUCUGCGCUGUAAACAAUUCUGUGAUGGAGUUUAAAUGCAGGUUACCCAUUAUGUAACUGAAUGCUAACACAGGAUUAAGAAACUGAAUGGUCUACUCGUGUUCUUAUAUUCCCAGAACAGAUGUUUGGACUAUGUUUGCAAUAAAAUCAGUUCUUGUGCA